This 278-nucleotide ribosomal RNA is filed under the name uncultured Rikenellaceae bacterium. Its description in RNAcentral is "partial 16S ribosomal RNA". It matches the Rfam family "Bacterial small subunit ribosomal RNA", at positions 511 to 788 of the family's 1533-position model. Lineage: Bacteria; Pseudomonadati; Bacteroidota; Bacteroidia; Bacteroidales; Rikenellaceae. The record is from RNAcentral.
GCAGCCGCGGUAAUACGGGGGAUGCAAGCGUUAUCCGGAUUUAUUGGGUUUAAAGGGUGCGUAGGCGGUUUUGUAAGUCAGCGGUGAAAUUUCGGAGCUCAACUUCGACCGUGCCGUUGAUACUGCAGAACUAGAAUGCGGAUGCCGUGGGAGGAAUGUGUGGUGUAGCGGUGAAAUGCAUAGAUAUCACACAGAACACCGAUUGCGAAGGCAUCUCACGAAUCCGCAAUUGACGCUGAGGCACGAAAGCGUGGGGAUCAAACAGGAUUAGAUACCCC